RNAcentral lists this ribosomal RNA (440 nucleotides) under uncultured bacterium. Its description in RNAcentral is "partial 16S ribosomal RNA". It matches the Rfam family "Bacterial small subunit ribosomal RNA", at positions 338 to 795 of the family's 1533-position model. The record is from RNAcentral.
CCUACGGGUGGCUGCAGUGGGGACUAUUGCACAAUGGGGGAAACCCUGAUGCAGCGACGCCGCGUGAGUGAAGAAGUAUCUCUGUACGUUAAGCUCUAUCAGCAGGGAAGAAAAUGACGGUAGCUUCCUAAGAAGCCCCGGCUAACUACGUGCCAGCAGCCGCGGUAAUACGUAGGGAGCAAGCGUUUACCGGAUUUACUGGGUGUAAAGGGAGCGUAGACGGCAGCACAAGUCUGGAGUGAAAUCCCGGGGCUUAACCCCGGAACUGCUUUGGAAACUGUGCGGCUGGAGUGCAGGAGGGGUAAGCGGAAUUCGUAGUGUAGCGGUGAAAUGCGUAGAUAUUAGGAGGAACACCGGUGGCGAAGGCGGCUUACUGGACUGUAACUGACGUUGAGGCACGAAAGCGUGGGGAGCAAACAGGAUUAGAUACCCGAGUAGUC